CGAAACGAUAACUUGUCAACAAUGAGAAUCAGAUACUUGGCUUAAUAAUUUUCAUUUAAAAUGUCUAAUUUGGAUAUAAUUCGGAAUACAAAACGAAACUUAAAAGGUAUUUUUUUAAAAAAACGUUCCAAAGCACAAUGUGGAUUUCAAUAGAAAUACUAUUUCCACCGACAAUCAGUAUUUCCGGUAUGACCACUGUUAUUUUGACGAUUUUUCUAUCGAAUCGUCGGUAAGCGUGACCACAUGUGACAACAGCGAUGCCAGUUGGAAAAUUGGUAGACGAGUCGUUGAACUCGACACAUUGGCCGAAUCGCUUUCAGCAUGCAGUGCUUGUCAACUCAAGUGCCAUGAAUUUACUUAACACAGUAGAAAGCAGGGAUUUCGGACUGGCAUGUGUUUUGGACAUACAGUGUAGCAAUUGUGGUGCAAUAAAUAACGUGGCUACUGGAUGGAAACAUGGCAGAGUUUAUGACAUGAACACAAAGCUUGCAUUGGGUUAAUCAGAAACUGGGUGUUUCACCUGGGACUUUCACAUAAAAAAUGGCCCUUCUCCGUGACCUUCAGCACAAAAAAAGAAAGGCUAUAACUGUUACUCGUGCAGCAAAACAGCGACGCAUAAGACUCAAAACUGGAACGGCAUUCAAAGGACAUAGUGCAAGAAGUACGAGAGGGUCCAACAUACUGUUCAAACAUAGAGGACCAAGAUGUUGAAGUUACAACUAUACCCCCACCUGUACCCAAGCCUGGUCCAGCAGGGCUAGACACUACUGGGAAGGAAUGUGUUUUCUUUGAUUUGGAAACAAGAGGGUUAGAGCGUACUUCUCACAUAAUUCAGAUAGCUGCAGUGCAUUCAACUGGUCAGUUUUCAACAUCAUGUGAUGCCAGAGAAGAAGAUGUCAUUGAAAGCGUCAGAAAUAACUGGAGUGACAGUUGUUGGCGACUCUGUGAUUGUCAAUGGACAAACAGUAACAGCUGUCCCCAUCAAAUCUGCAUUGACAAGUUUUAUAACAUUCUUACAGAAAUGUUCACCGGUUAUUUUAGUUGGGCAUAAUAUAGAGUCUUUUGAUUGUAAAGUGUUGCUCCAUGCUAUCCAUACUUGUGGAAAAAUGUCUGAGUUUCAGCAAAAUAUUUGUGGCUUUUUAGAUACUUACCAAAUAUGAAAUCAUAUUAGCAGAAAAAUUUAGUUAAAGACGUCAUUGGUGAAUUAUACAUGUACAUGGCACAUGGCGCUCUACAGGAUGUUUUAGCUUUUCAAAAGUUAGUGAACUCUGUUCCUCUUGACCAAAAUGUUGUUAACAAAUAUUCAUUCAGCUAUGACCGAGCAGUAUUAGCAUACAAUGUGUAACUAAAUGUUGCUUCCAACAUCAAAUCUUUGCAAACCAUGAUUGAUACAAAAGUUAUACGUGUGUAAGUCAAGGUGUUGCAAGGAAAGUUGCAGGAAGUGGAUUGCAACUUAAACAUUUGAGUACUGUAUCAAAAAGAAACGGACUGAGUGGUUUGAGGAGCCCCCUGUCAGAGGUUACACACAGACAAAUCAGAGUAACAAAAUCAGAGAAAAAAAUAUGAGCAAUAGCGAGUUAUUUGUUGCCUGACAUAUAAACAAUUGUAAUUUUCAUCUUGUAUAUAGAUUAGCUAUGAAAUCUAAUAGCUGUUACAUAAAAAAAUUUCCUUCUCGAUGACAAACAUAGUUGUGAUUCUUAUGUCAGUUGUAUUUCUCAUGUUUCACCUAAGUUGUAAGAUAUUUUUGGCAGUGCAUUAAACCACAGAUGGUGUGUGAAACAUAAUUGCCCGGCUAAUUGUAUUCUAUGUUGUUUUUUGUAGAUGUACUAAUCUGAUAAAAGUAUUUGCGUAGCCUGAAUUUUGAUUGUUGUUGCUCUCAUUAGUAGUUGUUGUGUACAUGUGUAUCCUAUAUAUGGACAACAACACAUUUUUGUUAAUGAAUUGCAAACAUGGCUUUGCUUAAUGUGUGUGAUUUGUGUCACAUAUUUUACAUUGUUCUAUGUCCCAAUAACAGUGAAAUAAUCAUUAUCUUGAAUUUCAUAAAUUAUAAUUUGGCAAAGGUUUCUGAUUGUAUAAGAAAACUAUGAAAAAUUCAGUUUCAGAUGGCCCCCCAAAAAGACAAAUGUAUUUCUCAUGUGUCCAGCUUUUGACAUCCUAAAAGAAGCCUUAUUAUACAUGCGUACAACAUAAAAAAAUCAACAAUACCUUUUUUAUUGACAUUCUUUUUGCAGUAUCUGUAACAAUGCCGUUCACUAAACAAUAGUGUAUCACAGCACAAAGCAGUACUAUUUGUAAAAAAAUUAUAUAUUAAUUGAUGUCUGGUUUUUAGCUCCACUGGCCGAAGGGCAGUGUCCUGUGUCAUGGUCCUAUGUCAUGGUCCUGUGUCCGUCGUGUGUGCAUGCGUCCGUGCGUUAACUUUUCCUUAAAACAUCUUCGUCUCCUAAACUACUGGUCCAAUUCUGAUAAAAUUUCUCAGGAAUGUUCCUGGGGUGAACCUCUUUCAUAUUUGUUCAAAUUAUGCCCCUGGGGUCAAAUUUGACCCUGCCCCGGGGGUCACUGCCUAUUUUGUGAAAACUUUCAAAAUCCUCUUGUCCAUAACCAUUGGGCCUAGGGCUAUCAAAUUUGGUAUGUAGAGACAUCUAAUAGUCCUCUACCAAAUUUGUUCAAAUUAUGCCCCUGGGGUCAAAUAUGACCCGCCCCGGGGUCACAAAAUUGAACAUAUGCUUAUAUAGGGUCUAUUUUGUGAAAACUUUACAAAUCUACUCGUCCAUAUCCAUUGGGCCUAGGGCUACCAAAUUUUGUAUGUAGUGGCAUCUUAUAGUCCUCUACCAAGUUUGUUCAAAUUAUGCCCCUGGGGUCAAGUUUGACCCUGACCCCAGGGUCACAAAAUUGAAUAAUGCUUAUACAAGGCCUUUUUUGUGAAAACUUAAAAAUCUUCUUGUCCAUAACAGUAUGGCAUAGGGCUACCAAAUUUGGUAUGUAGUGACAUGUAAUAGUUCUCUACCAAGUUUGUUCAAAUUAUGCCCCUUGGGUCAAAUUUGAAACUGCCCCGGGGGUCACAAAACUAAACAUAUGCUUAUAAAGUGCUUAUUUUGUGAAAACUUUAAAAAUCUUUUGUCCAUAUCCAUUGGUCCUAGGGCUACCAAAUUUUGUAUGUAGUGACAUCUUAUAAACCUCUACCAAAUUUGUUCAAAUAAUGCCUCUGGGGUCAACUUUGACCCUGCCCCGGGGGUCACACAAUUUAAUAUACGCUUAUAAAGCGCCUAUUUUGUGAAAUCUUUAAAAAUCUUCUUGUCAAAAACCAUUUGGACUAUGGCUACCAAAUUUGGUUUGCAGUAACAUCUUAUGGUCCUCAACCAAGUUUGUUCAAAUAAUGCCCUUUGGGUCAAAUUUGACCCUGACCCGUGGGUCACAAAAUUGAACAUUGUAUACGUUUAUAUGAUGCUUAUUUUGUGAAAACUUUUAAAAUAUUCUUGUCCUUAACUCUAGGACUUAGGGCUACCACAUUUUGUAUGUAGUGAGAUAUAGUAGUCCUCUACAAAGUUUGCUCAAAUUAUGCCUCUGGGGUUAAAGUUGACCCACCCCAGGGGGUCACAAAAGUGAACAUGUGCUUAAAUAGGGCCUAUAUUUAAGUAUUUGCACAUGCCGAGAAUAUUUUUUUCAGCCUUUUUUCAGCAGUGGAGCGAUACAGGGCCAUCAUGUCCCUCUUGUCUUUUAAUACACAUCACACAGUUCUAAAAAUAAUAAUUUUAAAAUAAUACAUAUGUUCAAUUUACAACCCACAACGUGGGUAACAGGUGGGUGGGGUAAUUUAAGAUGUUUAUUUGAACAUCAACAUUGUUUUUUUCAUUUGUUACAUCUGAAAUAUUUUCAUAACAAUGUACAUUAUAAAUAUUUCUACGUGUAUCACAUUUCAGUUGAUAAUUUGAUUGUUAUAGAGCAGUUAUUAUAUAGAUAUGUUUUAAUUACUAUUACAAUGUUAGUCAUUAUAUUUGUUAAAUUAAGUCCAUAUUAAAAUGUCUGUAGCAAAAAAAAAUCCACGGUGACCUAUCAAUUUCUUUACUUCAUUUUAAUGCUAAGCUAGUUUCCUUUAAUUAUUGAGAACUUCAAAUGAAUAUGAAUAUUACAUCAACAGAAAUAUGUAUCUGUAUUGCAUGUUAUCUAUUUUGAACUGUGCAAUAAAAAAUUCAAAACAAACAAAAAACUAGUCAUACUUA
Long non-coding RNA from Dreissena polymorpha, 4217 nucleotides. RefSeq lists it as uncharacterized. NCBI's taxonomy places the organism in Eukaryota, Metazoa, Mollusca, Bivalvia, Myida, Dreissenidae. The transcript has 4 exons. The record is from RefSeq and is a predicted model, not a curated record.